CCUACGGGGGGCAGCAGUGGGGGAUAUUGCACAAUGGGGAAACCCGGAGGCAGCGACGACGCGUGGGCGAAGAAGUAUUUCGGUAUGUAAAGCCCUAAAAGCAGGGAAGAAGAAAUGACGGGACCGGAGGAAGAAGCACCGGCUAAAUACGUGCCAGCAGCCGCGGUAAUACGGAUGGUGCAAGCGUUAUCCGGAUUUACUGGGUGUAAAGGGAGCGCAGGCGGAACGGCAAGCCUGAUGUGAAAGCCCGCGGCCCACCCGCGGGACUGCAUUGGGAACUACCGGGCUGGAGUGCCGGAGCGGUAGGCGGAAUUCCUCGUGUAGCGGUUAACUGCGUAGAUAUUAGGCG
RNAcentral lists this ribosomal RNA (349 nucleotides) under uncultured bacterium. RNAcentral's name for it is "partial 16S ribosomal RNA". It matches the Rfam family "Bacterial small subunit ribosomal RNA", at positions 338 to 703 of the family's 1533-position model. The record is from RNAcentral.